Molecule: ribosomal RNA, 393 nt
Filed under: uncultured bacterium
Lineage: Bacteria
Description: partial 16S ribosomal RNA
Rfam family: Bacterial small subunit ribosomal RNA
Source: RNAcentral
AUACGGAGGAUCCGAGCGUUAUCCGGAUUUAUUGGGUUUAAAGGGAGCGUAGGCGGACGCUUAAGUCAGUUGUGAAAGUUUGCGGCUCGACCGUAAAAUUGCAGUUGAUACUGGGUGUCUUGAGUACAGUAGAGGCAGGCGGAAUUUCUUGUGUUAGGGUUGAAUGCAUAGAUAUGACGAAGAACACCGAUUGCGUAGGCAGCUGACCAGACCGCAAAUGACGCUCAUGCACGAAAGUGCGGGGAUCGAACAGGAUUAGAUACCCUGGUAGUCCGCACAGUAAACGAUGAAUACUUGUUUUCGGCGAUAUAAUGUCGGAGGCAAAGCGAAAGCGAUAAGUAUUCCACCUGGGGAGUACGCCGGCAACGGUGAAACUCAAAUGAAUUGACGGGG